UACGUAGGGUGCAAGCGUUGUCCAGAAUUAUUGGGCGUAAAGAGCUUGUAGGCGGUUUGUCGCGUCUGCUGUGAAAAUCCGGGGCUCAACCCCGGACUUGCAGUGGGUACGGGCAGACUAGAGUGUGGUAGGGGAGGACUGGAAUUCCUGGUGUAGCGGUGAAAUGCGCAGAUAUCAGGAGGAACACCGAUGGCGAAGGCAGGUCUCUGGGCCACUACUGACGCUGAGAAGCGAAAGCAUGGGGAGGCAAACAGGAUUAGA
This 261-nucleotide ribosomal RNA is filed under the name uncultured prokaryote. Its description in RNAcentral is "partial 16S ribosomal RNA". It matches the Rfam family "Bacterial small subunit ribosomal RNA", at positions 524 to 782 of the family's 1533-position model. The record is from RNAcentral.